UAAUUUGAGAGUUUGAUCCUGGCUCAGGACGAACGCUGGCGGCGUGCCUAAUACAUGCAAGUCGAACGAACUCUGGUAUUGAUUGGUGCUUGCAUCAUGAUUUACAUUUGAGUGAGUGGCGAACUGGUGAGUAACACGUGGGAAACCUGCCCAGAAGCGGGGGAUAACACCUGGAAACAGAUGCUAAUACCGCAUAACAACUUGGACCGCAUGGUCCGAGCUUGAAAGAUGGCUUCGGCUAUCACUUUUGGAUGGUCCCGCGGCGUAUUAGCUAGAUGGUGGGGUAACGGCUCACCAUGGCAAUGAUACGUAGCCGACCUGAGAGGGUAAUCGGCCACAUUGGGACUGAGACACGGCCCAAACUCCUACGGGAGGCAGCAGUAGGGAAUCUUCCACAAUGGACGAAAGUCUGAUGGAGCAACGCCGCGUGAGUGAAGAAGGGUUUCGGCUCGUAAAACUCUGUUGUUAAAGAAGAACAUAUCUGAGAGUAACUGUUCAGGUAUUGACGGUAUUUAACCAGAAAGCCACGGCUAACUACGUGCCAGCAGCCGCGGUAAUACGUAGGUGGCAAGCGUUGUCCGGAUUUAUUGGGCGUAAAGCGAGCGCAGGCGGUUUUUUAAGUCUGAUGUGAAAGCCUUCGGCUCAACCGAAGAAGUGCAUCGGAAACUGGGAAACUUGAGUGCAGAAGAGGACAGUGGAACUCCAUGUGUAGCGGUGAAAUGCGUAGAUAUAUGGAAGAACACCAGUGGCGAAGGCGGCUGUCUGGUCUGUAACUGACGCUGAGGCUCGAAAGUAUGGGUAGCAAACAGGAUUAGAUACCCUGGUAGUCCAUACCGUAAACGAUGAAUGCUAAGUGUUGGAGGGUUUCCGCCCUUCAGUGCUGCAGCUAACGCAUUAAGCAUUCCGCCUGGGGAGUACGGCCGCAAGGCUGAAACUCAAAGGAAUUGACGGGGGCCCGCACAAGCGGUGGAGCAUGUGGUUUAAUUCAGAGCUACGCGAAGAACCUUACCAGGUCUUUGACAUACUAUGCAAAUCUAAGAGAUUAGACGUUCCCUUCGGGGACAUGGAUACAGGUGGUGCAUGGUUGUCGUCAGCUCGUGUCGUGAGAUGUUGGGUUAAGUCCCGCAACGAGCGCAACCCUUAUUAUCAGUUGCCAGCAUUAAGUUGGGCACUCUGGUGAGACUGCCGGUGACAAACCGGAGGAAGGUGGGGAUGACGUCAAAUCAUCAUGCCCCUUAUGACCUGGGCUACACACGUGCUACAAUGGAUGGUACAACGAGUUGCGAACUCGCGAGAGUAAGCUAAUCUCUUAAAGCCAUUCUCAGUUCGGAUUGUAGGCUGCAACUCGCCUACAUGAAGUCGGAAUCGCUAGUAAUCGCGGAUCAGCAUGCCGCGGUGAAUACGUUCCCGGGCCUUGUACACACCGCCCGUCACACCAUGAGAGUUUGUAACACCCAAAGUCGGUGGGGUAACCUUUUAGGAACCAGCCGCCUAAGGUGGGACAGAUGAUUAGGGUGAAGUCGUAACAAGGUAGCCGUAGGAGAACCUGCGGCUGGAUCACCUCCUUU
This 1568-nucleotide ribosomal RNA is filed under the name Lactiplantibacillus plantarum. RNAcentral's name for it is "16S ribosomal RNA". It matches the Rfam family "Bacterial small subunit ribosomal RNA". The record is from RNAcentral. Lineage: Bacteria; Bacillati; Bacillota; Bacilli; Lactobacillales; Lactobacillaceae.